UCUUACAUUUUGUCAGGAAUUGUAGGUUUGGAGGCAUUAAAGGGAUAGUUUGGAUUUUUGGACAAGAGGUCGUAUUACAUCCUCAUCAGCGGUGUCGGGCAUCAGCAGUGCCUUUUCCCCCACUGCGUCCCGUGAGCGGAGUUCUGGCCCGGUUUUUGCGCUGCAGAAAGUAGUUUUGCUUCAAAAAAUAAUAUGCAUUCAAAAGAGUAAUACAUUUGCAUCACGAAUUGUUGGCCGUGAAAAAGUCUGACCUCAUCCGGCACUAUUUUCCCUCCCUUCAUAUUACUGGGCGUACCUUUUCAUCAGCUGAAGGAGGCAAAAGGAGACUGCUACGACGCUUCUCUCGCUGUCCAUUUGACAUGGCACAUUGUACACUUUAGCAAACUAACCAUUUUCUCUCUAAUCUGUUAAGAUUACCCGCUUGGCAUUAGUCGGAGGGACCAAUGCCGAAAAUAUGAUCCGGCGAAUGCUAUCCGCUACCAUGGCAAACCGUGUAGCAUGCAUCUUCAACUGGGCGGGAAAGGGACCGAAGAGGGCCUUCAAGGACACGUUAAUGCAGGACUGCAUGUUUGUUGACAGAAUUGCAGUACAGGGGUGCCCUGCAGAAGUGGCUGCGUUACGCACCGGAGAGGAGUGGCGGGGUACCAAGAAAAGGCAAAGAUUAAGGACUAUUAAGGACAAAUGUUACUGUAAUGUUCUAAUUACAGGGUUAAUUAUAGGGUUAAUGUUCAUAAUUCCUUAAGAUGUUUGUUUAUAAUUGCUUUUGAAUAUUUAUUAAAUAACUUUUUGAAUAAUGGUCUGUUUUGUUGUUGUAGUUUUUUUGUUCAUAGAGCAUUCAAUAAAGCAGCUGUUCUAAACCUUGGUUUCUUAAAAAGAA
Long non-coding RNA from Gadus chalcogrammus (walleye pollock), 877 nucleotides. RefSeq lists it as uncharacterized. The transcript has 2 exons. The record is from RefSeq and is a predicted model, not a curated record. Lineage: Eukaryota; Metazoa; Chordata; Actinopteri; Gadiformes; Gadidae.